This 694-nucleotide ribosomal RNA is filed under the name Acinetobacter baumannii. RNAcentral's name for it is "bacterial SSU rRNA". It matches the Rfam family "Bacterial small subunit ribosomal RNA", at positions 93 to 783 of the family's 1533-position model. Lineage: Bacteria; Pseudomonadati; Pseudomonadota; Gammaproteobacteria; Moraxellales; Moraxellaceae. The record is from RNAcentral.
UAGCGGCGGACGGGUGAGUAAUGCUUAGGAAUCUGCCUAUUAGUGGGGGACAACAUCUCGAAAGGGAUGCUAAUACCGCAUACGUCCUACGGGAGAAAGCAGGGGAUCUUCGGACCUUGCGCUAAUAGAUGAGCCUAAGUCGGAUUAGCUAGUUGGUGGGGUAAAGGCCUACCAAGGCGACGAUCUGUAGCGGGUCUGAGAGGAUGAUCCGCCACACUGGGACUGAGACACGGCCCAGACUCCUACGGGAGGCAGCAGUGGGGAAUAUUGGACAAUGGGGGGAACCCUGAUCCAGCCAUGCCGCGUGUGUGAAGAAGGCCUUAUGGUUGUAAAGCACUUUAAGCGAGGAGGAGGCUACUUUAGUUAAUACCUAAGAUAGUGGACGUUACUCGCAGAAUAAGCACCGGCUAACUCUGUGCCAGCAGCCGCGGUAAUACAGAGGGUGCGAGCGUUAAUCGGAUUUACUGGGCGUAAAGCGUGCGUAGGCGGCUUAUUAAGUCGGAUGUGAAAUCCCCGAGCUUAACUUGGGAAUUGCAUUCGAUACUGGUGAGCUAGAGUAUGGGAGAGGAUGGUAGAAUUCCAGGUGUAGCGGUGAAAUGCGUAGAGAUCUGGAGGAAUACCGAUGGCGAAGGCAGCCAUCUGGCCUAAUACUGACGCUAAGGUACGAAAGCAUGGGGAGCAAACAGGAUUAGAU